This 76-nucleotide transfer RNA is filed under the name Campylobacterota bacterium. Its description in RNAcentral is "tRNA-Met". It matches the Rfam family "tRNA". From Rfam's summary of the family: Transfer RNA (tRNA) molecules are approximately 80 nucleotides in length. Their secondary structure includes four short double-helical elements and three loops (D, anti-codon, and T loops). Further hydrogen bonds mediate the characteristic L-shaped molecular structure. tRNAs have two regions of fundamental functional importance: the anti-codon, which is responsible for specific mRNA codon recognition, and the 3' end, to which the tRNAs corresponding amino acid is attached (by aminoacyl-tRNA synthetases). tRNAs cope with the degeneracy of the genetic code in two manners: having more than one tRNA (with a specific anti-codon) for a particular amino acid; and 'wobble' base-pairing, i.e. permitting non-standard base-pairing at the 3rd anti-codon position. The record is from RNAcentral. Lineage: Bacteria; Pseudomonadati; Campylobacterota.
GGGUUCUUAGCUCAGUGGUUAGAGCCGCCCGCUCAUAACGGGCUGGUCGCAGGUUCGAAUCCUGCAGAACCCACCA